GCUUACGGCCCAUACCAACCUGGCUAUGCCCGAUCUCGUCUGAUCUCGGAAGCUAAGCAGGUUUGGGCCUGGUUAGUACUUGGAUGGGAAACCGCCUGAGGAAUACCAGGUGCUGUAAGCU
Molecule: ribosomal RNA, 121 nt
Filed under: Carassius auratus (goldfish)
Lineage: Eukaryota; Metazoa; Chordata; Actinopteri; Cypriniformes; Cyprinidae
Source: RNAcentral